RNAcentral lists this ribosomal RNA (465 nucleotides) under uncultured bacterium. RNAcentral's name for it is "partial 16S ribosomal RNA". It matches the Rfam family "Bacterial small subunit ribosomal RNA", at positions 28 to 504 of the family's 1533-position model. The record is from RNAcentral.
GACGAACGCUGGCGGCGUGCUUAACACAUGCAAGUCGAACGGAAAGGCCCUGCUUUUGUGGGGUGCUCGAGUGGCGAACGGGUGAGUAACACGUGAGUAACCUGCCCUUGACUUUGGGAUAACUUCAGGAAACUGGGGCUAAUACCGGAUAGGAGCUCCUGCUGCAUGGUGGGGGUUGGAAAGUUUCGGCGGUUGGGGAUGGACUCGCGGCUUAUCAGCUUGUUGGUGGGGUAGUGGCUUACCAAGGCUUUGACGGGUAGCCGGCCUGAGAGGGUGACCGGCCACAUUGGGACUGAGAUACGGCCCAGACUCCUACGGGAGGCAGCAGUGGGGAAUAUUGCACAAUGGGCGGAAGCCUGAUGCAGCAACGCCGCGUGCGGGAUGACGGCCUUCGGGUUGUAAACCGCUUUCGCCUGUGACGAAGCGUGAGUGACGGUAAUGGGUAAAGAAGCACCGGCUAACUAC